RNAcentral lists this ribosomal RNA (775 nucleotides) under uncultured bacterium. RNAcentral's name for it is "bacterial SSU rRNA". It matches the Rfam family "Bacterial small subunit ribosomal RNA", at positions 46 to 826 of the family's 1533-position model. The record is from RNAcentral.
GCGUACACAUGCAAGUCGAACGAUCCUUAGAUGCUUGCAUUUAAGGAGAGUGGCGGACGGGUGAGUAACAUGUGAGUAAUCUGCCCUCGAGUGAGGAAUAACUUCGCGAAAGCGGAGCUAAUACCGCAUAACACCAUGGAGCAUAAGCUCUCAUGGUCAAAGCCUUCGGGCGCUUGAGGAUGAGCUUGCACCUUAUUAGCUAGUUGGUGGGGUAACGGCCUACCAAGGUUAUGAUGAGUAGCCGGCCUGAGAGGGUGUACGGCCACACUGGAACUGCGACACGGUCCAGACUCCUACGGGAGGCAGCAGUGGGGAAUUUUGCGCAAUGGGGGAAACCCUGACGCAGCGACGCCGCGUGGAGGAUUAAGGCCUUCGGGUUGUAAACUCCUGUCAGAGGUGAAGAAUGCCCUUUUAGGGUUUGACGGUAACCUCAGAGGAAGUCCCGGCUAACUACGUGCCAGCAGCCGCGGUAAUACGUAGGGGACGAACGUUGCUCGGAAUUACUGGGCGUAAAGGGUGCGUAGGUGGCUGAGUAAGUCGUAGAUGAAAUCCCCGGGCUCAACUCGGGAACUGUCUCCGAAACUGCUCAGCUUGAGGAUGGUUGAGGAAAGCGGAAUUCCCGGUGGAGCGGUGAAAUGCGUAGAUAUCGGGAGGAACACCAGAGGCGAAGCGGCUUUCUGGGCCAUUCCUGACACUCAUGCACGAAAGCUAGGGGAGCGAACGGGAUUAGAUACCCCGGUAGUCCUAGCCGUAAACGAUGGGCACUAGAUGUUCC